UACGUAGGGUGCGAGCGUUGCCCGGAUUUAUUGGGCGUAAAGGGCGCGUAGGCGGCUCGGCACGUCCGUUGUGAAAUCGCCCGGCUCAACUGGGCGGGGUCAGCGGAUACGGCCGAGCUUGAGCAAGCUAGGGGGCAAUGGAAUUCCCGGUGUAGUGGUGGAAUGCGUAGAUAUCGGGAGGAACACCAGUGGCGAAGGCGGUUGCCUGGAGCUUUGCUGACGCUGAUGUGCGAAAGCGUGGGGAGCGAUCCGG
Molecule: ribosomal RNA, 253 nt
Filed under: uncultured bacterium
Lineage: Bacteria
Description: partial 16S ribosomal RNA
Rfam family: Bacterial small subunit ribosomal RNA
Source: RNAcentral